This 323-nucleotide unclassified non-coding RNA is filed under the name Homo sapiens (human). RNAcentral describes it as "glutamate rich 1 (ENSG00000282665.1)". The record is from RNAcentral. Lineage: Eukaryota; Metazoa; Chordata; Mammalia; Primates; Hominidae.
GUGCGCUCCCGCACCCCCGGAGCCCAGGGUCCCGGCACCCCCGAGCGCGGCCAGGGAUGCGCGGAGCCCGGCGAGGAGCGCAACGCGCGACCCCCGAGCACAGGCUGUCCCUGGGGUCCCCAGCGCUCCGGCCCCGGCGGGCGGCACGACCCCCGCUCGCCCCCGCCCCCAACCCUGACGCCCUCGGGGCGUCCCCGCGGGUCCGACACACCGCGCCCUCCCCGCCUCGACGGCUCUCGGAGCCCCGCGCCCGGCUCCCGGCAGCCCCCGGCGGCUCGCACCUUCCUCAGCGCGGACAUCCUCGGACGCUCCGGGCUCAGCAG